AAGUCGUAACAAGGUUUCCGUAGGUGAACCUGCGGAAGGAUCAUUAACACGUAUCCAACGUUAAAACAACCCUGUGAACCUUCAUCUUGCUCGCGUGGCUCCAUAAAAAAGCAGCAAUCCCUGGUAAAUCAUUGUCGACCAGAUUUUGAGUCAGGGACCUCUGCCGAUGAGAGUUACGCUCGUAGCGACGCAAGCGACCUGGCACAACAACUGUUAACAAUGGAUAUCUUGGUUCUC
This 237-nucleotide unclassified non-coding RNA is filed under the name fungal sp. Its description in RNAcentral is "partial internal transcribed spacer region". The stretch from base 1 to 46 matches the Rfam family "Eukaryotic small subunit ribosomal RNA", at positions 1786 to 1831 of the family's 1831-position model. Lineage: Eukaryota; Fungi. The record is from RNAcentral.